CCUACGGGAGGCAGCAGUGGGGAAUAUUGCACAAUGGGGGGAACCCUGAUGCAGCAACGCCGCGUGGGUGAUGAAGUACUCCGGUAUGUAAAGCCCUGUCAGCAGGGAAGAAAAUGACGGUACCUGCCCAAGAAGCCGCGGCUAACUACGUGCCAGCAGCCGCGGCAAUACGUCGGGGGCAAGCGUUAUCCGGAUUUACGGGGCGUAAAGGGAGCGUAGACGGGAAUGCAAGUCUGGAGUGAAAGCCCGUGGCCCAAACACGGGACUGCUUUGGAAACUGGGUGUCUGGAGUGCAGGAGGGGUAAGCGGAAUGCCUAGUGUAGCGGUGAAAUGCAUAGAUAUUAGGAGGAACACCGGUGGCGAAGGCGGCUUGCGGGACUGUAACUGACGUUGAGGCACGAAGGCGUGGGUAGCAAACAGGAUUAGAUACCCGGGUAGUC
RNAcentral lists this ribosomal RNA (440 nucleotides) under uncultured bacterium. RNAcentral's name for it is "partial 16S ribosomal RNA". It matches the Rfam family "Bacterial small subunit ribosomal RNA", at positions 338 to 795 of the family's 1533-position model. The record is from RNAcentral.